Molecule: ribosomal RNA, 253 nt
Filed under: uncultured bacterium
Lineage: Bacteria
Description: partial 16S ribosomal RNA
Rfam family: Bacterial small subunit ribosomal RNA
Source: RNAcentral
UACGAAGGGGGCUAGCGUUGUUCGGAUUUACUGGGCGUAAAGCGCACGUAGGCGGAUCGUUAAGUCGGGGGUGAAAUCCUGGAGCUCAACUCCAGAACUGCCUUCGAUACUGGCGAUCUUGAGUCCGGAAGAGGUGAGUGGAACUCCUAGUGUAGAGGUGGAAUUCGUAGAUAUUAGGAAGAACACCGGUGGCGAAGGCGGUUCUCUGGGCCUGUACUGACGCUGAGGAGCGAAAGCGUGGGGAGCGAACAGG